RNAcentral lists this ribosomal RNA (69 nucleotides) under Vibrio parahaemolyticus. Its description in RNAcentral is "partial 23S ribosomal RNA". The record is from RNAcentral. Lineage: Bacteria; Pseudomonadati; Pseudomonadota; Gammaproteobacteria; Vibrionales; Vibrionaceae.
GCUGUGAGGCAUUGAGCUAACUGAUACUAAUUGCCCGUGAGGCUUAACCAUACAACACCCAAGGGGUUU